Molecule: ribosomal RNA, 846 nt
Filed under: uncultured haloarchaeon
Lineage: Archaea; Methanobacteriati; Methanobacteriota; Halobacteria; Halobacteriales; Halobacteriaceae
Description: bacterial SSU rRNA
Rfam family: Archaeal small subunit ribosomal RNA
Source: RNAcentral
GCUUAAAGGGGCCGUAGCUUGCCGAGUAAGUUCGUCGGGAAAUCUACUGGCUUAACCAGUAGGCGUCCGGCGAAAACUGCUCGGCUUGGGACCGGGAGACCAGAGGGGUACGUCCGGGGUAGGAGUGAAAUCCUGUAAUCCUGGACGGACCACCGGUGGCGAAAGCGCCUCUGGAGAACGGAUCCGACAGUGAGGGACGAAAGCUAGGGUCUCGAACCGGAUUAGAUACCCGGGUAGUCCUAGCCGUAAACGAUGCUCGCUAGGUGUGGCGCAGGCUACGAGCCUGCGCUGUGCCGUAGGGAAGCCGUGAAGCGAGCCGCCUGGGAAGUACGUCCGCAAGGAUGAAACUUAAAGGAAUUGGCGGGGGAGCACUACAACCGGAGGAGCCUGCGGUUUAAUUGGACUCAACGCCGGACAUCUCACCAGCUCCGACAGCAGUGAUGACGAUCAGGUUGAUGACCUUAUUCGACGCUGCUGAGAGGAGGUGCAUGGCCGUCGUCAGCUCGUACCGUAAGGCGUUCUGUUAAGUCAGAUAACGAGCGAGACCUGCGCCGUCAGUUGCAACUGCGAUCUCCGGAUCGUGGGCACACUGGCGGGACCGCUGGCGCUAAGUCAGAGGAAGGUGCAGGCAACGACAGGUCCGUAUGCCCCGAAUUUCCUGGGCUACACGCGCACUACAAAGGUCAGGACAAUGGGCUCCGACCCCGAAAGGGGAGGGUAAUCCCGAAACCUGAUCGUAGUUCGGAUCGAGGGCUGCAACUCGCCCUCGUGAAGCUGGAACGCGUAGUAAUCGCGGGUCAACACCCCGCGGUGAAUAUGCCCCUGCUCCUUGUACUCACCGCCCGU